This 393-nucleotide ribosomal RNA is filed under the name uncultured bacterium. RNAcentral describes it as "partial 16S ribosomal RNA". It matches the Rfam family "Bacterial small subunit ribosomal RNA", at positions 523 to 918 of the family's 1533-position model. The record is from RNAcentral.
AUACGGAGGAUCCAAGCGUUAUCCGGAUUUAUUGGGUUUAAAGGGAGCGUAGGCGGCUUGUUAAGUCAGGGGUGAAAGACGGUGGCUCAACCAUCGCAGUGCCUUUGAUACUGACGAGCUUGAAUAUAGUUGAGGUAGGCGGAAUGUGACAAGUAGCGGUGAAAUGCAUAGAUAUGUCACAGAACACCGAUUGCGAAGGCAGCUUACUAAGCUAUUAUUGACGCUGAGGCUCGAAAGCGUGGGGAUCAAACAGGAUUAGAUACCCUGGUAGUCCACGCCCUAAACGAUGACAACUCGAUGUUGGCGAUAUACAGUCAGCGUCCAAGCGAAAGCGUUAAGUUAUCCACCUGGGGAGUACGCCCGCAAGGGUGGAACUCAAAGGAAUUGACGGGG